CCUACGGGAGGCUGUAGUGAGGAAUAUUGGUCAAUGGACGAGAGUCUGAACCAGCCAAGUAGCGUGAAGGAUGACUGCCCUAUGGGUUGUAAACUUCUUUUAUAUGGGAAUAAAAUGUUCCACGUGUGGGCUUUUGUAUGUACCAUAUGAAUAAGGAUCGGCUAACUCCGUGCCAGCAGCCGCGGUAAUACGGAGGAUCCGAGCGUUAUCCGGAUUUAUUGGGUUUAAAGGGAGCGUAGGUGGAUUGUUAAGUCAGUUGUGAAAGUUUGCGGCUCAACCGUAAAAUUGCAGUUGAAACUGGCAGGCUUGAGUACAGUAGAGGUGGGUGGAAUUCGUGGUGUAGCGGUGAAAUGCUUAGAGAUCACGAAGAAUGCCGAUUGCGAAGGCAGCUCACUGGACUGCAACGGACACUGAGGCGCGAAAGUGUGGGUAUCAAACAGGAUUAGAUACCCGAGUAGUC
Molecule: ribosomal RNA, 460 nt
Filed under: uncultured bacterium
Lineage: Bacteria
Description: partial 16S ribosomal RNA
Rfam family: Bacterial small subunit ribosomal RNA
Source: RNAcentral